Molecule: unclassified non-coding RNA, 370 nt
Filed under: Purpureocillium lilacinum
Lineage: Eukaryota; Fungi; Ascomycota; Sordariomycetes; Hypocreales; Ophiocordycipitaceae
Description: sequence contains ITS1, 5.8S rRNA gene, ITS2
Rfam family: 5.8S ribosomal RNA (bases 175-328)
Source: RNAcentral
CCCAAACCCACUGUGAACCUUACCUCAGUUGCCUCGGCGGGAACGCCCCGGCCGCCUGCCCCCGCGCCGGCGCCGGACCCAGGCGCCCGCCGCAGGGACCCCAAACUCUCUUGCAUUACGCCCAGCGGGCGGAAUUUCUUCUCUGAGUUGCACAAGCAAAAACAAAUGAAUCAAAACUUUCAACAACGGAUCUCUUGGUUCUGGCAUCGAUGAAGAACGCAGCGAAAUGCGAUAAGUAAUGUGAAUUGCAGAAUUCAGUGAAUCAUCGAAUCUUUGAACGCACAUUGCGCCCGCCAGCAUUCUGGCGGGCAUGCCUGUUCGAGCGUCAUUUCAACCCUCGAGCCCCCCCGGGGGCCUCGGUGUUGGGGGA